GUCUACAGCCAUGCCACCCUGAACAAGACCAAUCCCAUCUGAUCUUGGAAACUAAGCAGGGUCGGGCCUGGUUAGUACUUGGAUGGGAGACCACCUAGGAAGACCACCUAGGUGUAAAAA
RNAcentral lists this ribosomal RNA (120 nucleotides) under Pteropus alecto (black flying fox). The record is from RNAcentral. Lineage: Eukaryota; Metazoa; Chordata; Mammalia; Chiroptera; Pteropodidae.